UGCAAAGUAGGAUUAGGCAGCCUUGCACGCUCUGAGAACAAAGAGAAGCUCUGAUGGCUACAGUAAGCCUAAUACCAAACCUGCUGCAAAAAGGCGUCACCAAGAAAAUAUUUGUGAAACUGAUGACAAAAAUGAUGAAGCCUGGAUGAAGAAAACUCCUUUAACUGAGGCCAACAUAAAGGAAAUGCUCGAUAACUUCAUCUCAUGCAGGCAUACAAGAAGACGGAUAAUAGAGUCCGAUAAUGAAGAGGUAACCGCAACUUACAUCCUUAACAGGUAUUUAAGGCUGAUGGAUCACUUUGAAGCAGUAACAAAGGUAACAUACCUAAAAUUGAUAUUAAUUAGUGGGUGGCAAAAUGUGCCGUAUUUGGCAACGUUAGAAUCAAACAAAGCCCUUUGUUUGAAAGAUUCUGUGUAUGUAAACUCAAAGAAAGAAUCAUGCAUUUCUGACUUAAUUCACGUUGACGCUAAAUAAUUUGUUUAUUUUUCUGCUGAAGAUGUUAGUCUGACAGAUAAGUAAAAAUGAAUAGUGCAGAAUACAAUGUUGGAAGCUUUGUAAUCGUAAAU
Long non-coding RNA from Daphnia pulicaria, 567 nucleotides. RefSeq lists it as uncharacterized. The record is from RefSeq and is a predicted model, not a curated record. The transcript is spliced from 3 exons. Lineage: Eukaryota; Metazoa; Arthropoda; Branchiopoda; Diplostraca; Daphniidae.